Long non-coding RNA from Equus caballus (horse), 2189 nucleotides. NCBI's taxonomy places the organism in Eukaryota, Metazoa, Chordata, Mammalia, Perissodactyla, Equidae. The record is from Ensembl.
GUACGUACAUUUUAUGUUACAUAAAAAAUUCUCAACAAAUGAUAUUAAUAACUAUAAUCAUAAGUACAACAAAAUGUGUCUCCAAAACUGUAUUCCAACCUCUAAAUUUUUAUUUUUAUUGAAUAUAAUUGACAUACAAUGUUAUGUUACUUUCAGGUGUACAACAUUUCAUUUAUAUACAUUAUGAAAUGAUCGCCAUGAUAAGUCCAGCUGCCAUCUGGCACCAUACAAAGUUAUUACAAUAUUAUUGACUAUAUUCCCUAUGCUGCACAUUGUAUCCCCAUGACUUGUUUUGUAACUAGAAGUUUGUACCACUUCAUCCCCUUCACCUAUUUCGCCCAGCCCCCUACCCCAUCCCCUCCGGUAACCAGCAGUUCGUUCCCUAUAUCUAUGAGUCUGCUGCUGUUUAGUUUCGUUUGUUCACUUGUUUUGUUCUUUAGAUUCCACAUGAGUGAAAUCAUAUGGUAUUUGUCUUCCUCUGUCUAACUUAUUUCACUUAGUAUAAUACCCUCUACAUCCAUCCAUGUUGUUGAAAAUGGCAAAAUUUCAUUCUUGUUUAUGGCUGAGUAAUAUUGCAUUGUGUAUUUGUAUAUUUGUAUAUUCACAUAUAUUUGCAUAUGUAUAUAUACACCACAUCUUCUUUAUCCAUUCAUCUAUUGGUGGACACUUAAGUUGCUUCCUUAUUUUGACUAUUGUGAAUAAUGCUGCCAUGAACAUAACAGUGCAUAUAUCUUUUUCAAUUAGUGUUUUUGUUUUCUUCAGCUAAAUACUCACAUGUGGAAUAGCUGGAUUGUAUGAUAGCUCUAUUUCUAAUUUUUUGAGGAGCCUCCCUACUGUUUUCCAUGGUGGCUGCACCACUUUACAUUCCUCCCAACAGUGCACAAGUGUUCCCUUUCCUCCACAUCCUCACUAACACUGGUUAUUUGUUGUCUUUUUGAUGACAGCCAUUCUGACGGGUGUGAGGUGAUAUCUCAUGUUGUGCUUUGGAUUUGCAUUUCCGUAAAGAUUAACAAUGAUGGACAUCUUUUCAUAUGUCUGAUGCCCAUCUGCAUAUCUUCUUUGGAAAAAUGUCUAUUCAGAUCCUCUGCAUAGUUUUUAAUUGAAUUGGAUUUUUUUAUAUUGAGUUGUAUAUGUUCUUUAUAUAUUUGGACAUUAAUCCUUUAUCAGAUAUAUCAUUUGCAAAUAUCUUCUCCUAUUCAUUAGGUUGCCUUUUUGUUGGUGGUGGUUUCCUUCACUGUGCAAAAGCUUUUUAGUUUGAUGUGGCUCCAUUUGUUAAUUUUCCAAGUUCUAACCUUCAUUGUUCACCUUAUAUGUGGUUGGAAAUGGCUGUGCUCAUUGCAUAUAAGACUGUCUCUAGAGGGAACAUAUCUGUGGCCAGGUAAAAAACCAGGUUGGUCAAUCCUGUGCAUCCUUACUGCCCAAAAGCUGCUCCCACAGUUAUUAUUCUUAUCAGGCUUCUGUGACCUGUCCUAACUAAGGCAGUGGCACAUUUGAUACAUCUAUAGAAGAACAGAGAAAUUGCCCCUAAUUUAGAAAAUCAGUUCUACGACAUUGUUCAAAACUCUAACCUGAAGGGGUAAAUCUACCUUGAUUAUUAUCAUAGAUAGCAAGACCAAUACCGUAAUAUAAUUUAGCAUUCGGAUCUUGAAAAAGAAAAAAAAACUACCUUUCCCAGAUAUUUUUGCUAGGUGAAAUUGCUUUGUUUUUUGUAAAUGGCUUUGCUUGAUUUCUUUAGAAGGAAAAGCUAACUGGCUCUGAGAUGUGCUUAUAAAGGAUUUGGGUCUUGUAUAUCAACUGUGAAUAUUCCAAAAGACCCACGAUUUUAGGUCUCCACUACUGUACUGUACUGGAAAACAGGGUAACUUUUGAAAUAUAUGUCACAUUUCUAGGUUUAUUUCCUCAUUUGUAAAAUGAGAGGUUAGAAGGUAAGGGUUAAGAUCCCUUCAGCCACGCAUCCUAGAAUUCUCUGAUUUAUCACAAAUAGCUGGAGAUGUGCUUAUACCCCCAAAUAGCAUUGCCAGUGACGAGAUUUCAGACUCCUAGUCUAUUUAGCCUUUCUACUACAGUAUCACCAUUAUUUGGGAGUAAUCAUUAAAAUUAGUGAGGAAGGCCACAGUGUUUUUACACUUUAGUUACACAUCCUCUUCAUCAUAAAUAAGCAUAUUGAGGAAAUAUCUUUAUUUUCUGAC